This 119-nucleotide ribosomal RNA is filed under the name Betta splendens (Siamese fighting fish). The record is from RNAcentral. Lineage: Eukaryota; Metazoa; Chordata; Actinopteri; Anabantiformes; Osphronemidae.
GCUUACGGCCAUACCACCCUGAGCAAGGCUGAUCUCGUCUGAUCUCGAAAGCUAAGCAGAGUCAGGCCUGGUUAGUACUUGGAUGGGAGACCCCCUGGGAAUACCAGGUAAUCUAAGCU